This 514-nucleotide ribosomal RNA is filed under the name uncultured bacterium. RNAcentral describes it as "partial 16S ribosomal RNA". It matches the Rfam family "Bacterial small subunit ribosomal RNA", at positions 28 to 523 of the family's 1533-position model. The record is from RNAcentral.
GAUGAACGCUGGCGGCGUGCCUAAUACAUGCAAGUCGAGCGCGAGAUUGAGGAGCUUGCUCCUCAUGAUCGAGCGGCGGACGGGUGAGUAACACGUAGGCAACCUACCCUUGAGAUUGGGAUAACUACCGGAAACGGUAGCUAAUACCGGAUACGACUUUUCCACAUAAGUGGAAUGGUUAAAAGGCGGAUUUAUCUGCCGCUCAUGGAUGGGCCUGCGGUGCAUUAGCUAGUUGGUGAGGUAGUGGCUCACCAAGGCGACGAUGCAUAGCCGACCUGAGAGGGUGAUCGGCCACACUGGGACUGAGACACGGCCCAGACUCCUACGGGAGUCAGCAGUAGGGAAUCUUCCGCAAUGGACGAAAGUCUGACGGAGCAACGCCGCGUGAGUGAUGAAGGGUUUCGGCUCGUAAAACUCUGUUGUUAAGGAAGAACACUUGAGGUAGUAACUGGCCUUGAGAUGACGGUACUUAACCAGAAAGCCACGGCUAACUACGUGCCAGCCGCCGCAGUAA